GUGGACCUCUGGAAGUUUCGGAUUUGAAAUCUGAAUUGCAGAUCAUCCGGAUCGAACUACGUAGUGACGUGUCUUAUAUAAGUUAUGUAUUCUAUCGGCAGGAUUUCUGAGGUUGGGUUUGAUUAUUGUUCUAGGCGCUAAUCUUCAUGACGCCUUGAUGUGUGGUGCUAGGGAGUUGUUGAGCGAACUCCAGGUGAGUGGGCAGUUUUUUGUUUUCGUAUUACCUUUAUACUAUAAAUUUUUUCCCAGAAGAUGAAUUUAUACGAAAUUAUGUUUUGAAAAUGCCAUGCAUAGAAUUAUUUGGAAAAGGUGAAUUUCACAUGAGUUAUAUGAUUGAUAUAUGAUGCAUACAUGUUGCAUGGUGCUGUGGAGGCACAGGUAAGUCAGGUGAGUUCAUUAUUCAUUUAAUUGAUUGUUGAUAAGAUGUUUCAAGCUCAUAAACCUGCACCCUAGGUGUUAGUGCUUAUUUUAUUCACCACACCGCACGCUCGCCUUGGAUCCAAGUAGGUGGAUGUCGUACAGACCAUGUGAGGGUUCCGACAUGCUAGUCGUAUAGAUCACUAGGCGUGAUUCCGACUAGUGGGUGAUCUUAGUUAUGCGCGCUGAUGAUUGAUGAGAGAAGCACUAGAGCGUAUUUUUACACCUUUCAUCGUACAGACUACCUUACGUAGUUCCGAGUGAUGUGCAGAGUAGGGCCGUAUAGGUCACUGUGGUGACUCCGGCUUAGUGAGAUAUUGAGCUAUUGAAUUAAUCGUAUAGGACCAACUGCAGGGUCUCCGAUUGAUUCCUUAUUUCACCUGAUUUAUAUUUUGAUUUAUGGCAUGGCAUGUUUUUCUUGAAAAAUGUUAAAGAUUUGGGAUUCAAGUUUUGAGAUUUCAUAUGGUUAUAUAUAUAUAUUUUUCUGAAAAGUGUUAAAGGUUUGAGAUUUGAGAUUUUUGCUUAUAUAUAUGUUUAUAUAUAUGCUAUUUUCUGGGAAAGUAUACAGGUUUUACGGUGAGGGGUUAGAAAUAUUUUAAAUGAAAAGUUUUCGAAAAACUUUGUUUUACUGACCCACUCAAUUUUGUUUUGCGCCCCUCCAGGUUCAAGUUAGCAGAGCUUUGGUGGCCACGAGGAAUCCAACGGUGUUCUGACAGAAUUCACAAAAGUAGGACUCACCCUCGGGUGUGUCAUCUUAGUAAUUGGAAAUUUUUUUUAAAGCUUCUGAACUAUGUAAAUGGUUACGUCACUCUCACGUGACGGCCAGCACGCCCUCCUUCGGGACGGGGUGUGUCAGUUGGUAUCAGAGCCUAGGUUGCAAUUCUGGACAUCUUGAGAAUUUCCUAGUGUCUUCUGUCAGAACUAUACCGCCUCAUAGCGAGCCACGUAGUUCGGAUGAGCCUAAAUUCCCUGAUAUAGUAGUUUGGGGGGAAAUUAUUGUCACUAUGAUUCAGUCUAUUAUCUAAAGGAACCUUUGAGACUGAUUAUAAGUUAAAUUUGAAUACAGACUUGCCUUGUUUCCAUUCGGGAUGUUGUUACUAAUCCGGUCGAGGUGUUAUGUCGUUUUUGGCGGGAUAAUAAGAAGAAGUGACGUUCUUUGGCGACCACAAUCCAUUGUACUUUUUUACCAGGAGUUUACGAGAUGUUGUUGGGCUUUGAGGACUUUGAGAAUAUGAUCAGCGAGAGUAAAGAAGAAUAAGAAAAGAAUGGUAAUUAGAGGAAAGGUGAGAAAGUUAAAGAUCCGUCAUAUCAAGGACGUCGAAAGACUCAGAGCUUCAAAAGAAGUGAAGUUAGAACUAAUUCUUCCAACUGAGGUUUUAGUGCCACUGGUCCGAGGCGAAGUGAUAGAUUUACGGGUGAUCCCAGAUCUUAAAGACAAGGGGUGACUCGAGUAAGGGAAAUGUACCUUUGUGCCAUAGGUAUAAUAUUAGACACUUUGGAGAGUGUGGGAAUCAGUGAAUGUGUUCAUGUGGAUGGAUGGGACAUAGAGGUAUGAAUUGUCCCUGGAAUCAGUUGUUACCCAAUAGUCUUCCUUAACAUAUCACUUGGAAAUAUUGACGAGUAAGUCGUACAGGUCACUAUAUGUGACUCCGACUUAUGUGCUAGCAUGGAUGGUCGAGUUGUAGACUCAGUCGUACAGGUCAUUCUAGCUGACUCCGGCUGAUAUAUUUCUUAUUAUGGUCGAUGUUGCCAAAGAAAGUAAUGUUGGAGCACGAUCGAGGCGUAUUUAUGUAUUUCUAAGGAAGAACAAGAUGAUAAUAUUACACCCCUCAGGAAUUGUUACUUAGUUAUCGAGACAACAGUGAGUUAUUUGUAUUGCGGGCUGCAGACCGUAAUAUUUAUAACUUAUUUGUUGGAUUCGUUAAGUAAGUAAACAAGUAAGGCACUUUAUGUUGAUUUGGUUUAUUAAGGGUGUCCAGUGAUGGUGAAAAAUGUCAUGUCAGUGAAUUUUAUUCCGUUGGAUAUUAUGGAUUUUGAGGUGAUUUUUUUUGGCACCAGUGCGUGCAGUAUAAUUGUGUCAAGCUAGAUUGCUAUGGGGAAUCAGUUAAUUUUUGUUGACCUGGAUGACCAGAGGUUACUUUUAGGGGUAAGUAAAGUGGAGUGAGUUAUGCCAUUAUUCCUGUUGAGAGAGCAAAGAAGAUUGUUAUCAAAAGGCUGCCAAGAUAUUGAGUUCAUAUGGUGCUAAAUGAUGUUGAUCCUAAUAGUAUGGAAGAUGUAAAGAUGGUUAGACAUUUUCUUGGUGUAUUCCCAGAUGACUUACCUAGAUUGCCGCCAGGCAGAGAUGUGGGUUCCAUUAUUGAAUUGUUUUUAGGUACAAAUCCUAUGUUAGAAAUUGGUUCAGGUUGAGUUAAAAGUUCCAUUCAACUUAUUAUAUCACAUUGGAAAAGCUCCGGUUUAUUUGUGAGGAAGAAAGUGGACAUUAAGGCUAGGCAUUGAUAUUAGGUAAUUGAAUCGGGUAACGAUUGAGAGCUGUUAUCCAUUGUUGUGUAUUAAUGAUUAUUUGAUCAGCUCUGAGGCGCCUGGGUACUUUCUGAGACUGACUUGAGGUCUGAAUGAUAUUAGUUGAAGAUUAACAGUGGGGAUGUCCAUAAGACUGAAUCCAGGACUCGUUAUGGUCAUUUCAAGUUGGGAUGCCAUACGGAGUGACGAAUGCACCUACUAUUUUUAUGAGCUUACUGAAGGAAGUAUUCCAGUGAUAUCUAGAUCGGUUUGUUGUUGUUGCCAUUGACGAGAUUGAUAAGAUUAGAGCAGUGCAUGCUAGAUAUUUUAAAGUUGGGUGUUGCAAAGAUUGAAGGAACGUUGAUGUAUGCUAAGUUUAGCAAAUGCUAAUGUUGGAUAAAUUAAUUAUAUCUACUUAAGGUAUUCAAGUGGAUUCUUAAAAGAGUAGCAACGAUUGAGAAUUUGGAACAAUUGCGAACCGUGACUGAGGUUUAGAGUUUUCUCGGAUUAGCAGGAUAUUGUCGAUAGUUCGUCCAAGAUUUUAAUUAUUGCUUCGCCCUUGGCGAGAUUGAUGAGAAAAGAGGUUAAGUUUGAGUGGGAUGAAAAAUUGUGAGUAGAGCUUCAGCAAGUAAAGUAUUCCCUCACUCAUGCAUCUGUUUUCGCACUCCCAAACGAUAGUGGUAAUUACGUAGUCUAUAGUAAUACUUCUUUGAAUGUUCUUGAAUGCGCGUUGAUGCAACAUGGUAGGAUGAUUGCCUAUGCUUCAUGGCCAUUGGGAUCUCAUAAGAUGAAUUACCCUAAUUAUAAUUUGGAAUUAGCAGCUAUCAUCUUUGCUUUGAGAAUUUGGAGACAUUGUCUUUAUGGGAAGAAAAGUGCAUGAUUGUUACAAAUCAAAAGAGUACCCAAUAUCUGUUUAUUCAGAGGUAUCUUAAUCUUAGGCAACAAAGGUGGAAUGAGUUGCUUAGUGAUUAUGAUUGUGUGACGAGGGUGGUCAAGCUAAUGUUGUGGCUGAUGCAUUUAGUAGGAAGACCCCAGUGAGAAUUAAUGCUUGGUAUGCUUGCUAUGUUCAUCUUCUUGUGGAUUUGAAAUCUACUGGAGUAAAGUUGAGUAUCAAAAAUCGAGAAGAAGCCUUACUUGCUAAUUUCUAAGUUGGACCCAUUUGGUAGAUCGUACUCGAUACUCAAGCGUUUGACGAAGAAAUUCAAGAAUUUAUUUAAAGCAAGGAAUAACGGGAUAAAGAAGGACCUUAGAGUUAGAGAAUCAGAUGGCAAGCUUAUGCAAGGGAACAAAGUGUUUAUGCCUAAUGGUGUGGAAUUAAAUAAAGCAAUUUUGACGAUGUACAUUAUUCCACUUCUACAAUGCAUCCCAAAAGUACUAAGAUUUAUCAUACCAUUCGUUCAUGUACUAUUGACGGGUAUGAAAAGAGGAACGGCGAAGUAUGUUAGUAGGCGUAUCAUCAGUCAUCAGGUUAAAGCAGAAAGAAAUAAGUCUUUUGGAAUAAUGUAGUCAUUUCCCAUUCCACGGCGGAAAUGGGAGAAUAUUACUAUGGAUUUCAUGGACAAGCUUCCUCGUAUACCAAAUAGUUAGGUUGGAGUUUGAAUAAUAAUUGAUUGAUUUGUGACGUCAGCGCAUGUUACUUCAGUAUGAGAACAUCAACCUUUCCAGAUAAGCGCAACAGUCAUUUAUUUGUUUUAUGGAAAAAGGAGAUUGGGAUCUGUUAAACUUCUUGGGUAUGUUGGUUCCUUCAGUUUGUUCCCUAGAGUAACGCCAUAAGGCCGUGGAAAGCUAUGUCUUGUGUUUCGAAAUUGUUAGAAUUGGGGACGGAUGAUAUUCAAGACUCUGAGUUUGGUGAAAAUUUAUGGAGGAAUCUUUCAGUGGAAGAAAACUACUUGAAAGUCAAAGAAUCGAAUGAGAGAGAUGUGUGUUUCGGGCUGUUUCAUGGAUAUUGAUGGAUUGUAAAGAUUGUGUAAAUUUCGAGGACGAAAUUUCUGUAAGGUGGGUAGAUUGUGACAGCCCGUCCCUAAUUUUAAGAAUUUUUAAAGUUUUAAUAAAGGAUUUUACAAAAAUGCCCUUCGAGGCACGCACAUCAUUCGAGGUUAAUCGUUGUGUCGUGCCAUCUAAGAUUUGUUUUCUUGACAUAUCCUCGUAGUACUCGUCGUUACGGACGUGUGGGCGCAGACGGUUCGUGAUUUGGAGUUAUAUCGAAGAAGUUAUUAACGUUUGAAAUUUGGAAUUUUAAGGAAUUAUAAUUUUAGUAAAAUAUAGAAAUUCUUUUAUGAAAUUGGACGGCCCAGAUUUAUUGAUGAAUGAAAUGGAUGGCUGGGAUGAGGGAAAGGUUUUUGGUGUGUGUAUGUGUAUGAGAAGAAGAAACAGAAAACAGAAAAGAAGAAGAGACUGGGCAGAAAUGCCCAAUCGGAGAAGAAGAAGGUGAGAGCAAACCAGAAGAAGGGAGAGGAAGAAGCUGACCAAUCAGGGGACGGAAAGGAGGGAAAGGAGGGAAAGGAGGGAGAGUGGUGCGCGGGGGAACAGGAGGAAUGGGUCACCCUUGACCCGCGCGACCCAAGCUUCCAAAUCGGCGGGUUUUCGCCAUUUCCGUCCAAAUUUCCGACGAAUUGAGUCAAGGUACCACUCCUAAUCAUCAUCUAGGCCUUCCCUCUUUACGUUUCACCCCAAGAAUCAUUGAAUUUCGUUGUGAUUUCGCGAAGAACACCCCUACGGGUGCCGCGACCCUUUUGUUUAAAUUCUCCAAAUUUUGAAAUGUUUUCUUUCAAUUACUAACACCUUUAGCAUUCCUUUAGGACCUAGAACAAAGCCCAAGAGGUAAUUGAGGCGUUGGAACAAGUUUGAAGGUCGAAUUGGAAACACCCAAAUUCUAGGGUUCUUCACGGUUUUGGUGAAAUUGAAGCACUUCCAGGCCAAAUUGGCCUUGGUCUCAGGUAUGAAAGUUGUUCUACUCAUUGAGAUCUUCAAAUCUGCAAAUUUUGGUAAUUUUUGGAAAUAGUUGAAUUUUCCGGCGAGCCGGGGCGGCCAACCGCCACCCGCGGCGGCCCGCGCGGCGGCGCGUGGCCAAUGGCCGCCAAUGUCAUUAUUAGCUUGUGAUUAAGGUUCUAGGUUCUGUUUUGAUAAUUGAUGGACGUAAAUUGAAUAAUUGAACCUAAGUUGGUUACGAUUCGGGGUUAGGUGAAAAUGUGAAUUGACGAUCCGACCGUUGGAUCGUCAUCAAACUUUGAUACGUUGUAAUACGUAAUAUUUGAGGAUUAUAGGAACUUACGGAUUGGGAAUCCGAUUUACGGAUAUUCCGGAAUUGGAAUUGUAAGUUCAUAAAAUAGAAUGUUAACCGUCACUUAGUUUUGGAAAUUGACGGAGAUCCGACCGUUGGAUGGUAACGAAAUUUUAGGAUGUUGUCCUAGAGGUAUAUUGUGGACCUCUGGAAGUUUCGGAUUUGAAAUCUGAAUUGCAGAUCAUCCGGAUCGAACUACGUAGUGACGUGUCUUAUAUAAGUUAUGUAUUCUAUCGGCAGGAUUUCUGAGGUUGGGUUUGAUUAUUGUUCUAGGCGCUAAUCUUCAUGACGCCUUGAUGUGUGGUGCUAGGGAGUUGUUGAGCGAACUCCAGGUGAGUGGGCAGUUUUGUUUUCGUAUUACCUUUAUACUAUAAAUUUUUCCCAGAAGAUGAAUUUAUACGAAAUUAUGUUUUGAAAAUGCCAUGCAUAGAAUUAUUUGGAAAAGGUGAAUUUCACAUGAGUUAUAUGAUUGAUAUAUGAUGCAUACAUGUUGCAUGGUGCUGUGGAGGCACAGGUAAGUCAGGUGAGUUCAUUAUUCAUUUAAUUGAUUGUUGAUAAGAUGUUUCAAGCUCAUAACCUGCACCCUAGGUGUUAGUGCUUAUUUUAUUCACCACACCGCACGCUCGCCUUGGAUCCAAGUAGGUGGAUGUCGUACAGACCAUGUGAGGGUUCCGACAUGCUAGUCGUAUAGAUCACUAGGCGUGAUUCCGACUAGUGGGUGAUCUUAGUUAUGCGCGCUGAUGAUUGAUGAGAGAAGCACUAGAGCGUAUUUUUACACCUUUCAUCGUACAGACUACCUUACGUAGUUCCGAGUGAUGUGCAGAGUAGGGCCGUAUAGGUCACUGUGGUGACUCCGGCUUAGUGAGAUAUUGAGCUAUUGAAUUAAUCGUAUAGGACCAACUGCAGGGUCUCCGAUUGAUUCCUUAUUUCACCUGAUUUAUAUUUUGAUUUAUGGCAUGGCAUGUUUUUCUUGAAAAAUGUUAAAGAUUUGGGAUUCAAGUUUUGAGAUUUCAUAUGGUUAUAUAUAUAUAUUUUUCUGAAAAGUGUUAAAGGUUUGAGAUUUGAGAUUUUUGCUUAUAUAUAUGUUUAUAUAUAUGCUAUUUUCUGGGAAAGUAUACAGGUUUUACGGUGAGGGGUUAGAAAUAUUUUAAAUGAAAAGUUUUCGAAAAACUUUGUUUUACUGACCCACUCAAUUUUGUUUUGCGCCCUCCAGGUUCAAGUUAGCAGAGCUUUGGUGGCCACGAGGAAUCCAACGGUGUUCUGACAGAAUUCACAAAAGUAGGACUCACCCUCGGGUGUGUCAUCUUAGUAAUUGGAAAUUUUUUUUAAAGCUUCUGAACUAUGUAAAUGGUUACGUCACUCUCACGUGACGGCCAGCACGCCCUCCUUCGGGACGGGGUGUGUCAUUAAGUCUAGUUGUUAUAAUGCUCAUCCGACUAUUAACUGAGCCUUUGCUUUGAAUUCGGUAUUAAGCCAAGUUUAGCAUUUUAAUAGUAUAAUUAUAAUAAUAAAGUACCUUGAAUAUGGAAGUCAUCAACAACUAAAGCACACACUUGUUUAAUUUGUAUGAACACUGUAUAUUAUUGUUUUUGUAGACCCUGUCAACCACAACCAGUAAGAAUAUAUUAUCCUAGACACCUAACUAUAACUAGCAUAAAAAGAAGAUUAGCCUAUAUUUCUAACUAUAACUAGCAUAACAAGAAU
This 7900-nucleotide long non-coding RNA is filed under the name Malus domestica (apple). RNAcentral's name for it is "long non-coding RNA (MDOM_LNC006805)". The record is from RNAcentral. Lineage: Eukaryota; Viridiplantae; Streptophyta; Magnoliopsida; Rosales; Rosaceae.